CCGCGAAGCCUUCCCUUCGGAGACGCACAAACAAGCGCUUGCUUCCCCCUUCGGGGGUUCGCGACCGUUUCCCCCAAAACGUCUCCGGGCGAAAGUCCCCGGACACCAGGGCAGAAAGUGCCAGCCAUAAGGGCCGGAC
This 139-nucleotide non-coding RNA is filed under the name Rhodella violacea. Lineage: Eukaryota; Rhodophyta; Rhodellophyceae; Rhodellales; Rhodellaceae. The record is from RNAcentral.